This 423-nucleotide ribosomal RNA is filed under the name uncultured bacterium. Its description in RNAcentral is "bacterial SSU rRNA". It matches the Rfam family "Bacterial small subunit ribosomal RNA", at positions 355 to 775 of the family's 1533-position model. The record is from RNAcentral.
UGAGGAAUAUUGGUCAAUGGGCGUAAGCCUGAACCAGCCAUCCCGCGUGAAGGAAGAAGGCCCUAUGGGUUGUAAACUUCUUUUCCAGGGGGAGAAUUUUUCCGUCGUGACGGGAAUUGACGGUACUCUGGGAAUAAGCAUCGGCUAACUCCGUGCCAGCAGCCGCGGUAAUACGGAGGAUACGAGCGUUAUCCGGAUUUAUUGGGUUUAAAGGGUGCGUAGGCGGAUUGAUAAGUCAGUGGUGAAAGGCUGCAGCGUAACUGUAGAGUUGCCGUUGAUACUGUCAGUCUUGAGUAUGGUCAAGACAGGAGGAAUGUGUAAUGUAGCGGUGAAAUGCUUAGAUAUUACACAGAACACCGAUUGCGAAGGCAGCUUGCUGGGCCAUCACUGACGCUCAUGCACGAAAGCGUGGGGAUCGAACAG